This 57-nucleotide transfer RNA is filed under the name Varanus exanthematicus. RNAcentral describes it as "tRNA-Cys". The record is from RNAcentral. Lineage: Eukaryota; Metazoa; Chordata; Lepidosauria; Squamata; Varanidae.
AGUCCAGAAUAUCAUCAAACUGCAAAUUUGAAGAAGGGUAGGAUUACCCCUGGGCUU